GACGAACGCUGGCGGCGUGCUUAACACAUGCAAGUCGAACGGAAAGGCCCUGCUUUUGUGGGGUGCUCGAGUGGCGAACGGGUGAGUAACACGUGAGUAACCUGUCCUUGACUUUGGGAUAACUUCAGGAAACUGGGGCUAAUAUCGGAUAGGAGCUCCUGCUGCAUGGUGGGGGUUGGAAAGUUUCGGCGGUUGGGGAUGGACUCGCGGCUUAUCAGCUUGUUGGUGGGGUAGUGGCUGACCAAGGCUUUGACGGGUAGCCGGCCUGAGAGGGUGACCGGCGACAUUGGGACUGAGAUACGGCCCAGACGCCUACGGGAGGCAGCGGUGGGGAGUAUGGCACAAUGGGCGGAAGCCAGAUGCAGCGACGCCGCGUGCGGGAUGACGGCCUUCGGGUUGUAAACCGCUUUCGCCUGUGACGAAGCGUGAGUGACGGUAAUGGGUAAAGAAGCACCGGCUAACUACGUG
RNAcentral lists this ribosomal RNA (468 nucleotides) under uncultured bacterium. Its description in RNAcentral is "partial 16S ribosomal RNA". It matches the Rfam family "Bacterial small subunit ribosomal RNA", at positions 28 to 507 of the family's 1533-position model. The record is from RNAcentral.